This 216-nucleotide ribosomal RNA is filed under the name Glomeromycotina sp. RNAcentral describes it as "partial small subunit ribosomal RNA". The stretch from base 40 to 216 matches the Rfam family "Eukaryotic small subunit ribosomal RNA", at positions 686 to 864 of the family's 1831-position model. The record is from RNAcentral. Lineage: Eukaryota; Fungi; Glomeromycota.
GUGUCUGUAGGUUGGUCGUGCCACCGGUACGUACUGGUCUAACUGAUUCCUCCUUCCUGAAGAACCGUAAUGCCAUUAAUUUGGUGUUGCGGGGAAACAGGACUGUUACUUUGAAAAAAUUAGAGUGUUUAAAGCAAGCUAACGCUUGAAUACAUUAGCAUGGAAUAAUGAAAUAGUACGAUCGAUCCUAUUUUGUUGGUUUCUAGGAUUGACGUA